CACCCGCAAGCAGAGCCGCUCGCCCCCACGACCCUUCCUGCCGCCGCCGGCCAUCGUCUCCUCGCGCCCCGAGCGCAUCCGCGACCAUGACCGCCGCACCUCCCGCAGCCCCCCGCCGACUCGCCGCUGUCCAGGAGGUCCCUGACGCCGCCACCGCCGGCCAUCGGCUCCUCGCGCCCCGAGCGCAUCCGCGACCACCGCACCUCCCGCAGCCCCCCGCCGCGCCGGCGCCACUCGCCACCAUCCAGGAGGUCCCGUCGCCGCCCUUCAAGUGGUCCUGGCAGGACGAUGGGUACGACCACCGAGGAGGCCGCGGCAGCCCCCCACCACGGUACGACCGAGGAGGAGGCAGAGGUGGGUAUGAUGAUGACCGGCACCACGGCAGGCAUCGUGCUUCAGAUUGGCCUGAUUCUAGAUUUGGGGCACCGAAUGAUGGUCCUGGGAAUACCCAAAGGUAUAUAUGUAUAUAAUUACCUACACCUACAUGUUUAUUUCCCUGCUGUGGUUAGUCUUUUGGGUUUCUAGACACUCUUAUUUUUUUCUCCUGGGCACCAUAAAUAUGUAGGAAUCGUCAGUAUUGUAAAAAAAUAUGGAAAUUAAGUUGUCUACUAUGCUCUUAGCCACAGUUAACAGAUAGAGAAUCUUCUUAGAAAUUCUCCAUAUUUGAUGUUCGAAAGCAAACUGAUCCUUGGCUAUAUGCACGUUGGAUUUUCGAUUCUUCAUUACUCUUUAUUAGCCACCAGCAAGCCUUGUGCUCUUUUUACAGUCAGUACUACUACCACCACAAAAGGCUCGUCCCAGUCGUAUAGCAGCUAAACUAUCGAAGGCAGGAUUAGUGUAUGUUUUGGAUACAGUCAAAUGGAGAAUCUGAUGAGAAUAUUCUUUAUCUGUUAACAAUAGGUAGUUUGGGCAUUGACUUUAUUUGAAUUAUUUCUCAGUGUUUUUUAUCAAAAUGAUAAACACGAGGCCAACUUUGCUGGUUAUUUUAUUGUUUGCAUGUUAUAGUCCACUAUUUUGAUGUGCAUGCUACUAUAUUGAGCGCAAAUCUACAUUAAAAAUUCCGUGUAAAAAUUUGAGAUAUAUGUAGUUGUGAACUAUUUUAGUUUCUUGCAUAUUUGCAUAGAUAUUCAUGCUACACGAUUUACACUAAUCCUUUUUUAAUGUAUUCAUCUUUGCCAUUUUCAUCAUAUCUGCAAUAAGUUCCUUUAUUGAUUGGUACUUGUUCAAAAGAGGGACAUGAAUGGAUGGCCCAUUUUGUUUGGAGUAGUUGGGUUAAAUCAUAUAUUUUUCCACCUGGUGUGAACAUGCAUUUUACCACUACAAAAAGUCAUUCUUAAAGGUUGAUGGAUUUAAAUUAUAUACAUUAUAUGUCCUGUACAAAGAAGAGCAAAUUGGUGCAGUGAGUGUGGUGGAUAGUGUGUCACUCAAACUGCAUCGAUUAGUAUUUUUGUGUGGAGAACACAAGUCAUGUUUUGGCACCAUAUCUUGCAAGUGUACUUAAUUGUUAUGGCAUGAUACGAUCCCUGAUUUCUCAAGAACACAUUACACCUUAUGGAGCACAUAGAAAUUUGAAUACGUGGAUGUGGAAAUCAGGUUUUGACUAUGCAUUAGAAGGUUAGAUGGUCCAGGUCUAUUAUGUACUGGUAUUAGUGCUAUAUAUCUACAUUGUCUAACUUUAACUUAUUAGUUCAAUAUUUUGGAUUCCACAUCGUUAACCACCUGGUGCGGCUCCUCCAUCAAUUCGGUAAUUUCAAAGUCUAAGCUAGGUGGACUGUGAAGUACAAAAUUACUAAGAAAUUAAUUACACCGGGUCAUAAAGAUUCUCUUGCUUGGUAAAGUUUUUGGUUGAAAGUUCUAAGACGAUGAUACUGUUACAAUCCGAUGGAGCUGUGCUAAUCUCCUGGCUCCUUGCCCUGAUGGACACCACACAACUGCACUGCAACCUGCAGUUCUUUCCCUGCUCACCAUGACCCGCCUCCUCAUCUUUAUCCGAGAUAAAGGGUUUUCAUCGAGUCGGACAUGAUUCCAUUUUUAAAGUGUAGUUGGACAGUUCCAAGUAUUUGUUUUCAUCAUGUCGGGAUCUCGGAAAUAUUUGCUGGAGGAAGUACUGCAGUACUGAUAGAGGCUCUUUCUCUUAAUUUAGAUCACUUUGUUGGGCUUCUUUCAAAAUCACAUCCAUGCUAUUGAUGGUGUGAUUUCUCUAUUUUUUGCUUAUUUAGUACUCGCCACUCCUCUCUAAUUGCCUGUUGGUUAUCUCAUUUUUCCCUUUUUCUGUUGAGCAAUUUUUUCUAUUGCUGUGGUAGGCCGGAAUCAGUUUUUUGUUUAAAUCGUAGAUGAAUAGUCAGUUCUACAUAUAUGUAACAUAUGCUAUUUUUGUUGCCUCAUAUUAACAUGGGAAUCAAGGAAGUUUCUGCAAAUGUA
Triticum aestivum (bread wheat) is the source of this 2421-nucleotide RNA transcript. It is a transcript of the gene named translation initiation factor IF-2, with no coding region annotated. The record is from RefSeq and is a predicted model, not a curated record. The transcript is spliced from 4 exons. NCBI's taxonomy places the organism in Eukaryota, Viridiplantae, Streptophyta, Magnoliopsida, Poales, Poaceae.